Cricetulus griseus (Chinese hamster) is the source of this 929-nucleotide non-coding RNA. NCBI's taxonomy places the organism in Eukaryota, Metazoa, Chordata, Mammalia, Rodentia, Cricetidae. The record is from RefSeq and is a predicted model, not a curated record.
CUGGUGGUCCGGUAACACAGUGGAGUUGACAACUUCCUAUUACCUAGGGACACCACUGUAGUGCAAUGCAGCACAACACACACAGCAAACUUUGUCAGAGAUAACUGUAAAUAUUUAACAUCUAGACCAGUGAGUGGCUGUCAACCUGAGGGUCACAACCCUCUUGGGGCCGAACAAGCUUUUCACAGAGGAUGCCUAUGGCCAUCAGAAAACACAGAUGUUUACAAGACUCCUAACAGUAGCAAAAUUACAGUUAUGACGCAGCAAUGAAAAUGUAAUUUUAUGACUGGAGUCACCACAACGUGAGCAACUGUAUUAAAGAGUCGCAGCAUCAGGAAGGCUGAGAACCGCUGGCCUAGACAGAAAGGGUUGGAAACCAAACCCAGAACCUCAAGUAUGCAUGCCAAAAGCUCUCAGGCUUGGCCAGCAUUCCCGUCCUCCUGCUGUGUAGUUACUGCUCCCUGGAUCUUUCAAACUGACUUAGAGCACUGAAGAAAGCCACAGCUUUGAAGCUUCCAUGCAAAGCUGCUGUCACAUACGGUUUUCUUUGGAAAAGCUUUAUGCACCUGAGGGCUGCUAAGCAAAUGUAUCCUCAGGCCAUGCAAACAUCAUACCUAAAUAACACAGGAAGAUGACAACGGCAGCUACUUGGACCUUGGCCUACAGUGAGACAAGACUGAAGGCAGACACCAUUCUGCUGCUGUAAUGGCCUACAGCAGUGACACAGAGGAAGAGAAGCAGCUAUGCAAGCACACAGCCUUGCUUUCCUUGCCUGGGGAUGGGAUCCAAAGCCCUGUGCAAGCUCUGAGCUUUACCCUGGAUACCUCCUCUUCUACACUCUUUUUUUUUCCCCUUUUUUUCUUUUGUUUUUUUGAGACAGUGUUUCUCAGUAGCUAUGGAGUCAGUCCUGGAACUCACUCUGUAGACCA